This 348-nucleotide long non-coding RNA is filed under the name Manihot esculenta (cassava). RNAcentral describes it as "long non-coding RNA (MESC_LNC008354)". Lineage: Eukaryota; Viridiplantae; Streptophyta; Magnoliopsida; Malpighiales; Euphorbiaceae. The record is from RNAcentral.
GGAUGUAAGUAUAUUCAUAAUUGUGAUGCAUGCGCGUGACGUGUCACAACCAUUGGUCCACAAAAACUCAUUUCCAAUCCCGACGUUUUUCGGGUUGGAUCAGACCAGGUUCCUAACACGCAAUAAAUAGCAACGCCAUGGCCAAUAGAUACUCCAAGAAAACCUUACAUCGCCUAAUCUCUCCGUCAACAAAACCUUCGCCUCUCCGUCGAGAAACACUGCCAUAGCCUCCCCUCCUCGAAGAAUGAACGGCAACAGCACCUAUGAAACAGCGUGGGCUGAUCAAUGGGACAACGGCCCUGAUCCUGUUUACAACCACCAGAACGGGAAGAGCAGCAGCAGCAGUUC